Molecule: ribosomal RNA, 855 nt
Filed under: Alopias superciliosus (bigeye thresher)
Lineage: Eukaryota; Metazoa; Chordata; Chondrichthyes; Lamniformes; Alopiidae
Description: partial 16S ribosomal RNA
Rfam family: Bacterial large subunit ribosomal RNA (bases 180-855)
Source: RNAcentral
UUAAAGCUAGCCUGUAUACCUACCCUAAACCUAACCCUAUUAAUUACCUUAUAUAUUAAUACCUAACUAAAACAUUUUACCUUUUUAGUAUGGGCGACAGAACAAAAACUCAGCGCAAUAGACUAUGUACCGCAAGGGAAAGCUGAAAAAGAAAUGAAACAAAUAAUUAAAGUAAUAAAAAGCAGAGAUUUAACCUCGUACCUUUUGCAUCAUGAUUUAGCUAGAAAAACUAGACAAAGAGAUCUUAAGCCUAUCCCCCCGAAACUAAACGAGCUACUCCGAAGCAGCACGACUAGAGCAAACCCGUCUCUGUGGCAAAAGAGUGGGAAGACUUCCGAGUAGCGGUGACAAGCCUACCGAGUUUAGUGAUAGCUGGUUACCCAAAAAAAGAACUUUAAUUCUGCAUUAAUUCCUUUUCCACCAAAGAGUCCAUCUUACCAAGGUUAAACAUAAAAAUUAAUAGUUAUUCAGAAGAGGAACAGCCCUUCUGAACUAAGAUACAACUUUUAAAGGUGGUAAAUGAUCAUAUUCACCAAGGUUUUUACCUCAGUGGGCCCAAAAGCAGCCAUCUGUAAAGUAAGCGUCACAGCUCCAGUCUCACAAAAACCUAUAAUUUAGAUAUUUUUCUCAUAAUCCCCUUAACUAUAUUGGGUUAUUUUAUAAAAUUAUAAAAGAACUUAUGCUAAAAUGAGUAAUAAGAGGACUAACCUCUCCAAACACAAGUGUAUGUCAGAAAGAAUUAAAUCACUGACAAUUAAACGAACCCAGACUGAGGUCAUUAUACUAAUAUUACCUUAACUAGAAAAUCUUAUCAUAACAUUCGUUAACCCUACACAGGAGUGUCUUAAGGAAAGA